UACGGAGGGGACCUAGCGUUGUUCGGAAUUACUGGGCGUAAAGCGCACGUAGGCGGAUUUGUAAGUCAGGGGUGAAAUCCCGGGGCUCAACCUCGGAACUGCCUUUGAUACUGCAAAUCUCGAGUCCGGAAGAGGUGAGUGGAAUUCCUAGUGUAGAGGUGAAAUUCGUAGAUAUUAGGAAGAACACCAGUGGCGAGGCGGCUCACUGGUCCGGUACUGACGCUGAGGUGCGAAAGCGUGGGGAGCAAACAGG
RNAcentral lists this ribosomal RNA (253 nucleotides) under uncultured bacterium. RNAcentral's name for it is "partial 16S ribosomal RNA". It matches the Rfam family "Bacterial small subunit ribosomal RNA", at positions 524 to 776 of the family's 1533-position model. The record is from RNAcentral.